UCAAAAAUCGGUUCCCGUACAAUCAUCGAAAUUAAGCAACAUUGAGCCUGGUCAAUAUCUAGAUGGGUGACCGCUUGGGAAUACCAGGUGCUGUAAG
Non-coding RNA from Acanthosepion pharaonis, 97 nucleotides. The record is from the annotation of a GenBank genome assembly. NCBI's taxonomy places the organism in Eukaryota, Metazoa, Mollusca, Cephalopoda, Sepiida, Sepiidae.